Molecule: long non-coding RNA, 358 nt
Filed under: Calidris pygmaea (Spoon-billed sandpiper)
Lineage: Eukaryota; Metazoa; Chordata; Aves; Charadriiformes; Scolopacidae
Description: lncRNA (ENSCPGG00000010748.1)
Source: RNAcentral
CGGAAAGGAGACACCAGCAAAGACCCAACAGCUGCUCAGCUCCCCAGAACAGGACACUAUUGUGGGACAGCAGAUACAGGACUGCCAGGAAGGAUGCUCCAAGCACAGAAAAAGCAAACCCGGGGAAGGGGAAUUUCACUGCGAGGAGAAACGCCGCGGUGCCCUCACUCGCGAGCUGUGAAGGGCAGAUCUGCCACUGGGUUUCAACAGACUAUUCUUCAGCCAUCUUCCAUUCAUCGUUGGGAAUGAAAGCUAAAUAACUCCUGUUUCAUAACGGAGGGACUAGCCUCUCCAAGAGUUCAGAUAUGGAGUUACAGCCACUUGAGAUGCAGGCCACGCUGGAGAUCGCAUGGAAAAA